ACGAGGAGACGAGGUGGUGCAUGGUUGUCGUCAGCUCGUGUCGUGAGAUGUUGGGUUAAGUCCCGCAACGAGCGCAACCCCUACGUUUAGUUGCUAACGCGUGAAGGCGAGCACUCUAGACGAACUGCCGUUGACAAAACGGAGGAAGGUGGGAUGACGUCAAAUCAUCAUGCCCCUUAUGUUCUGGGCUACACACGUGCUACAAUGGCCGGUACAGACGGACGCAAAGCCGCGAGGUGGAGCAAAUCCUAAAAAGCCGGUCUCAGUUCGGAUUGCAGGCUGCAAUUCGCCUGCAUGAAGUCGGAAUCGCUAGUAAUCGCAGGUCAGCAUACUCGCGGUCCGAAUACGUUCCGGGCCUU
Molecule: ribosomal RNA, 359 nt
Filed under: uncultured Pelotomaculum sp.
Lineage: Bacteria; Bacillati; Bacillota; Clostridia; Eubacteriales; Desulfotomaculaceae
Description: bacterial SSU rRNA
Rfam family: Bacterial small subunit ribosomal RNA
Source: RNAcentral